CGAAAGCCUGACGGAGCAAUACCGCGUGAGGGAAGAAGGCUUUUGGGUUGUAAACCUCUUUUGUCAGGGAAGAAGAAUUGACGGUACCUGAAGAAAAAGCAUCGGCUAACUCCGUGCCAGCAGCCGCGGUAAUACGGAGGAUGCAAGCGUUAUCCGGAAUCAUUGGGCGUAAAGGGUCCGCAGGUGGCGAAUAAAGUCUGCUGUUAAAGACCGGGGCUUAACUCCGGAAAGGCAGUGGAAACUGAUUAGCUAGAGUAAGGUAGGGGUAGAGGGAAUUCCCAGUGUAGCGGUGAAAUGCGUAGAUAUUGGGAAGAACACCGGUGGCGAAAGCGCUCUACUAGGCCGAAACUGACACUGAGGGACGAAAGCUAGGGUAGCGAAAGGGAUUAGAUACCCCUGUAGUCUUAGCGGUAAACGAUGGAUACUAGGUGUAGCUUGUAUCGACCCGAGCUGUGCCGAAGCUAACGCGAUAAGUAUCCCGCCUGGGGAGUACGCACGCAAGUGUGAAACUCAAAGGAAUUGACGGGGGCCCGCACAAGCGGUGGAGUAUGUGGUUUAAUUCGAUGCAACGCGAAGAACCUUACCAGGGCUUGACAUGUCGCGAAUCUAGCGGAAACGUUAGAGUGCCUUAGGGAAUGCGAACACAGGUGGUGCAUGGCUGUCGUCAGCUCGUGUCGUGAGAUGUUGGGUUAAGUCCCGCAACGAGCGCAACCCUCGUCCUUAGUUGCCAAUGUUAAGUUAGGCACUCUAGGGAGACUGCCGGGGACAACUCGGAGGAAGGUGGGGAUGACGUCAAGUCAGCAUGCCCCUUACGUCCUGGGCUACACACGUACUACAAUGGUUGGGACAAAGGGCAGCAAGCUCGCGAGAGUAAGCGAAUCUCAUCAAACCCAGCCACAGUUCAGAUUGCAGGCUGCAACUCGCCUGCAUGAAGUAGGAAUCGCUAGUAAUCGCAGGUCAGCAUACUGCGGUGAAUUCGUUCCCGGGCCUUGUACACACCGCCCGUCACACCAUGGAAGCUGGCUACGCCCGAAGUCGUUACCCUAACCCGGUUUUGGGAGGGGGAUGCCGAAGGUAGAGCUAGUGACUGGGGUGAAGUCGUAACAAGGUAGCCGUACCGGAAGGUGUGGCUGGAUCACCUCCUUU
This 1146-nucleotide ribosomal RNA is filed under the name uncultured cyanobacterium. Its description in RNAcentral is "bacterial SSU rRNA". It matches the Rfam family "Bacterial small subunit ribosomal RNA", at positions 376 to 1533 of the family's 1533-position model. Lineage: Bacteria; Bacillati; Cyanobacteriota. The record is from RNAcentral.